This is a non-coding RNA of Mycena rosella, 90 nucleotides long. The record is from the annotation of a GenBank genome assembly. NCBI's taxonomy places the organism in Eukaryota, Fungi, Basidiomycota, Agaricomycetes, Agaricales, Mycenaceae.
UCGGACGUGGUGCACGGCGCACGCCCGCUCUCCUAGCGAUGCCUUCUCUGACUGAUACGGGGAGUCUGGGUUCGACUCCCAGCGUCCGAA